AUCACCAAAUCAAGCCAUUUGCAAUUCCUUUUUCAAUUUUUUUCCAAAUAGUCAACCACCCCACUUUAAUAUAUUCCAACCCCCAUACUCAAUCACAUCACCCAUCUUUUCACCAUUUCUACCUUAUUUAAUUUAUCAAAUACCAACAUGCCCCAAACCUUAGCCAACUAAACCCAUUUUCAGCUUUAGACCGAAAUUAGCCUCGUCAAAACCCGUGAGUUACGAACCCGAGCCA
RNAcentral lists this long non-coding RNA (235 nucleotides) under Gossypium raimondii (Peruvian cotton). Its description in RNAcentral is "long non-coding RNA (GRAI_LNC003076)". Lineage: Eukaryota; Viridiplantae; Streptophyta; Magnoliopsida; Malvales; Malvaceae. The record is from RNAcentral.